UACGUAGGGUGCGAGCGUUAAUCGGAAUUACUGGGCGUAAAGCGUGCGCAGGCGGUUUUGUAAGCCAGAUGUGAAAUCCCCGGGCUUAACCUGGGAAUGGCAUUUGGGACUGCAAGGCUUGAGUGCGGCAGAGGAGACUGGAAUCCUGGUGUAGCAGUGAAAUGCGUUAGAUAUCAGGAGGAACACCGAUGGCGAAGGCAGGUCUCUGGGCUGACACUGACGCUCAUGCACGAAAGCGUGGGGAGCAAACAGG
Molecule: ribosomal RNA, 253 nt
Filed under: uncultured bacterium
Lineage: Bacteria
Description: partial 16S ribosomal RNA
Rfam family: Bacterial small subunit ribosomal RNA
Source: RNAcentral